AACGAACGCUGGCGGCAUGCCUAACACAUGCAAGUCGAACGAGACCUUCGGGUCUAGUGGCGCACGGGUGCGUAACGCGUGGGAACCUGCCCUUAGGUUCGGAAUAACUCCCCGAAAGGGGUGCUAAUACCGGAUAAUGUCUUCGGCCCAAAGAUUUAUCGCCUUUGGAUGGGCCCGCGUUGGAUUAGCUAGUUGGUAGGGUAAAAGCCUACCAAGGCGACGAUCCAUAGCUGGUCUGAGAGGAUGAUCAGCCACACUGGGACUGAGACACGGCCCAGACUCCUACGGGAGGCAGCAGUGGGGAAUAUUGGACAAUGGGCGAAAGCCUGAUCCAGCAAUGCCGCGUGAGUGAUGAAGGCCUUAGGGAUGUAAAGCUCUUUUACCCGGGAUGAUAAUGACAGUACCGGGAGAAUAAGCUCCGGCUAACUCCGUG
This 433-nucleotide ribosomal RNA is filed under the name uncultured bacterium. RNAcentral describes it as "partial 16S ribosomal RNA". It matches the Rfam family "Bacterial small subunit ribosomal RNA", at positions 29 to 507 of the family's 1533-position model. The record is from RNAcentral.